GAUCAUGGCUCAGAACUAACGCUGGCGGCGUGCCUAACACAUGCAAGUCGUACGAGAAAGUCGGCUUCGGCCGAUAAGUAAAGUGGCGCACGGGUGAGUAACGCGUGGGUAAUCUGCCCCCCGGUCAGGAAUAACCCGCCGAAAGGCGGGCUAAUACCCGAUAACACUGGCGCUCUGCGGAGUGUCUUUCAAAGAAGGCCUCUGUUUACAAGCUUUCACCGGAGGAUGAGCCCGCGUACCAUUAGCUAGUUGGCAGGGUAAUGGCCUACCAAGGCAACGAUGGUUAGCUGGUCUGAGAGGAUGACCAGCCACACUGGAACUGAGACACGGUCCAGACUCCUACGGGAGGCAGCAGUGAGGAAUCUUGCGCAAUGGGGGAAACCCUGACGCAGCAACGCCGCGUGAGUGAGGAAGGCUUUCGGGUCGUAAAGCUCUGUCGGAUGGGAAGAAAUGGUUGGAGGUUAAUACCCUUCAUCCUUGACGGUACCAUCAGAGGAAGCACCGGCUAACUCCGUGCCAGCCGCGGC
Molecule: ribosomal RNA, 527 nt
Filed under: uncultured bacterium
Lineage: Bacteria
Description: bacterial SSU rRNA
Rfam family: Bacterial small subunit ribosomal RNA
Source: RNAcentral